CCUACGGGUGGCUGCAGUGAGGAAUAUUGGUCAAUGGGCGCAAGCCUGAACCAGCCAAGUCGCGUGAGGGAAGACGGCCCUACGGGUUGUAAACCUCUUUUGCCGGGGAGCAAGCCUGAGCACGUGUGCCCAGGCGGAGAGUACCCGGAGAAAAAGCAUCGGCUAACUCCGUGCCAGCAGCCGCGGUAAUACGGAGGAUGCGAGCGUUAUCCGGAUUUAUUGGGUUUAAAGGGUGCGCAGGCGGGCUGUUAAGCCGGCGGUAAAAAUUCAGGGCUCAACCCUGUCGAGCCGUCGGAACUGGCAGCCUUGAGUGGGCGAGAAGUAUGCGGAAUGCGUGGUGUAGCGGUGAAAUGCAUAGAUAUUAGGAGGAACACCAGUGGCGAAGGCGGCUUACUGGACUGUAACUGACGUUGAGGCUCGAAAGCGUGGGGAGCAAACAGGAUUAGAUACCCCGGUAGUC
Molecule: ribosomal RNA, 460 nt
Filed under: uncultured bacterium
Lineage: Bacteria
Description: partial 16S ribosomal RNA
Rfam family: Bacterial small subunit ribosomal RNA
Source: RNAcentral